UUCCCCCUUGAGCACACAUACUAAAAUUGGAAUGAUACAGAAAAGAUUUGCAUGGUCCCUGCGCAAGGAUGACAUGAAAAUUCGUGUAGCGUUCCUGGAGAAG
Molecule: small nuclear RNA, 103 nt
Organism: Hyla sarda
Lineage: Eukaryota; Metazoa; Chordata; Amphibia; Anura; Hylidae
Source: RefSeq, a predicted model, not a curated record